Molecule: ribosomal RNA, 432 nt
Filed under: uncultured bacterium
Lineage: Bacteria
Description: bacterial SSU rRNA
Rfam family: Bacterial small subunit ribosomal RNA
Source: RNAcentral
UCAAGAAACUUCCACAAUGGGCGAAAGCCUGAUGGAGCGACGUCGCGUGAUGGACGAAGUGCUUCGGCACGUAAACAUCUUUUAUGUGGGAUGAAAUUAUUGACAGUACCACAUGAAUAAGGGGCUCCUAACUCUGUGCCAGCAGGAGCGGUAAUACAGAGGCCCCAAGCGUUAUCCGGAAUCACUGGGCGUAAAGGGUGUCGAGGCGGUUGUAUUAGUCGUUCGUAAAAUCUACGAGCUUAACUUGUAGGCGGCGAACGAAACGGUACGACUUGAGGUUUGGAGAGGUGCGUGGAACUCACGGUGUAGGGGUGAAAUCCGUUGAUAUCGUGGGGAACACCAAAGGCGAAGGCAGCGCACUGGCCAAAAUCUGACGCUCACACACGAAAGCUAGGGUAGCGAAGAGGAUUAGAUACCCUAGUAGUCCCUGAG